AUUGAACGCUGGCGGCAGGCCUAACACAUGCAAGUCGAACGGUAACAGGAAGAGGCUUGCUUCUUUGCUGACGAGUGGCGGACGGGUGAGUAAUGUCUGGGAAACUGCCUGAUGGAGGGGGAUAACUACUGGAAACGGUAGCUAAUACCGCAUAACGUCGCAAGACCAAAGAGGGGGACCUUCGGGCCUCUUGCCAUCGGAUGUGCCCAGAUGGGAUUAGCUAGUAGGUGGGGUAACGGCUCACCUAGGCGACGAUCCCUAGCUGGUCUGAGAGGAUGACCAGCCACACUGGAACUGAGACACGGUCCAGACUCCUACGGGAGGCAGCAGUGGGGAAUAUUGCACAAAGGGCGCAAGCCUGAUGCAGCCAUGCCGCGUGUAUGAAGAAGGCCUUCGGGUUGUAAAGUACUUUCAGCGGGGAGGAAGGGAGUAAAGUUAAUACCUUUGCUCAUUGACGUUACCCGCAGAAGAAGCACCGGCUAACUCCGUG
This 490-nucleotide ribosomal RNA is filed under the name uncultured bacterium. Its description in RNAcentral is "partial 16S ribosomal RNA". It matches the Rfam family "Bacterial small subunit ribosomal RNA", at positions 30 to 507 of the family's 1533-position model. The record is from RNAcentral.